GAGAUAUCUUGCACUAAAAAUGUCUUUCUGCUGAAGUAUUUUCUGAAAUAUUAGUUUCUACUUUUACUUUUUUCUCCCAGGACAUCCAUUCGUCUGAACCAAAACAGCUCCCUUAUUUUAUUUUUUCCUUUUUUUAUUUUUUCUAGUUCUGAAAUAACCCAUCUUGAAGACAUAAACAACCUGCAUUGAUGGCUAGCCAGACUCUGUCCUGCCACAGUUCUCCUCCUACUCUUCAUUUCUUACCCCAAGGAGUAGUAAACAUGAAUCCUGACCCACCAAUGCAGUCCCAGAACUGAGAAAAGAUUCAUUGCAGCUAAACAGUAGGUAGAAAUAAAAACAAUGACUCAAUUCGAUAAUAUUAAGUGUGUUGGGAAGACAGUCUCCAAAAGAAAGGAUAAAUAACCUACAUAAUGAAGAAUUACUUAGCAGUGUUAUGUAAAUAUUGUAGCAGCAUCAAUGAGGAGGUGAACAGUGCCCUAUGGAACUCCAGGAACUUCAAAACAUUUUUAUCCAGGCUUUUGCUACAUUUUGAUGAAUAACCCUUAAUGUUGUGCAACAUGGCACCCUAGUCCCAAGUGAAAAUCCACCUGCCCAAAGGUAAAGUCCUGCGCAAAUUAUUUUUUCUCUUUAAACGACAAAAAGAACAAAGGAAAGAUGGUAAACAAGACACAGGGAAAAAGAAAUGAAGGUUGUUUUGCUUUGUUUUUAUUUUUUGCUUUGUUUUGUUUUUAAAGAUGGGGUCUUUCUAUGUUUCCCAGAUUAGUCUUGAACUCUAACCUCCUGAGUAGCUGGGACUCCAAGGGCAUGUCAUCAUCAAACAAGCAUCAUCCAUGACUCCUGGUUAUAGUUCCAGUUAUGACAGCAGACUUUAGGAAAUCACAAGAUGCAAGCUUAAUUAAUAGCAUGGUACUCUCCUAAAAUCA
Molecule: long non-coding RNA, 923 nt
Filed under: Macaca fascicularis (crab-eating macaque)
Lineage: Eukaryota; Metazoa; Chordata; Mammalia; Primates; Cercopithecidae
Description: lncRNA (ENSMFAG00000051386.1)
Source: RNAcentral